CCUACGGGUGGCUGCAGUGAGGAAUAUUGGUCAAUGGGCGCGAGCCUGAACCAGCCAAGUCGCGUGAAGGAAGACGGCCCUACGGGUUGUAAACCUCUUUUGCCGGGGAGCAACGGGCGCCACGUGUGGCGCCACUGAGAGUACCCGGAGAAAAAGCAUCGGCUAACUCGGUCCCAGCGGCCGCGUUAAUACGGAGGAUGCGGGCGUUAUCCGGAUUUAUUGGGUUAAAGGGGUGCGUGGGCGGAGCUUGAGGUCGGUGGUAAAAUUGGGGGGCGAAACCCGUUCCCGCAGUGGAAACUGGGGGGCUUGAGUGGAAGGGAGGUAGGCGGAAUGCGUGGUGUAGCGGUGAAAUGCAUAGAUAUCACGAAGAACCCCGAUUGCGAAGGCAGCAUGCCGGCGCCCGACUGACGCUGAGGCACGAAAGCGUGGGGAUCGAACAGGAUUAGAUACCCUAGUAGUC
Molecule: ribosomal RNA, 460 nt
Filed under: uncultured bacterium
Lineage: Bacteria
Description: partial 16S ribosomal RNA
Rfam family: Bacterial small subunit ribosomal RNA
Source: RNAcentral